CAAAAACAUAGCCAACUACAAAUAUGGAAGGUGUUACCUGCUCAGUGGCCAGUAAGUGAAAUAUUAUAAUGUAAUAUAAAACUGGUUAAACAGCUGCCUUAAUCCUAGAGGGUACUAAGUAAGCAUAAUCGGAUACCGUUUGAUUGGCGGAGAGUUGAAUGGACAAACGAGCGCAAAGCUGUCUCUAUAAGAAUAAUAAUUGAAUUAGGAGCUCAAGUGAAGAUACUUGGGUCAAAAGUAGGACGAAAAGACCCCGUGAAGCUUAACUAUAAGCUGUGUUAAUAGGAUAAUAUUUUGUAAUAGUGAAUACUAAUAAAACAAUUAAUUCAUUAACAUAAUGAAUUAAAUUAAGUUUUACUUUUCUUAUAGUAGCCAGCUUGGUAGUUUUGGUGGGGCGCCAGCACGUUAAAAAUAACAUGAAGUUAGCAAUUGUCAAGUCAAUAUAGACUAGUGUAAGAAACAUCUUUACACAGAGUUAAUAAACGGUAAAGUGACCCUCUCUAUAGUGAAUUUAUUUAUAAAGAAAGACAAAGAAUGAUAGUUACUCCGGGGAUAACAGGGUAAUAUUUACCCCCUGAAGACUGUUAUUUGGGGGGAUGUUUGCCACCUCGAUGUUGAAUUGGCUUUACCUAGUGGAGGAGACAGUACUAAGGGUGGGACUGUUCGUCCCCUAAGAAGCUACAUGAUUUGG
This 691-nucleotide ribosomal RNA is filed under the name Eudoxoides mitra. RNAcentral describes it as "partial large subunit ribosomal RNA". It matches the Rfam family "Bacterial large subunit ribosomal RNA", at positions 1808 to 2608 of the family's 2925-position model. The record is from RNAcentral. Lineage: Eukaryota; Metazoa; Cnidaria; Hydrozoa; Siphonophorae; Diphyidae.